CCCUUAGAUGUUCUGGGCGGCCCGCGCACUACAUUGGCACUCUCAAUCAGAGCCUAGAUCAAAAACUUUGGGGUAUUCUAUGAAGAGGUGUCGUGACUGGGAUUAACCCUUGCAAUUAUUGGUUACGAACGAGGAAUUCCUUGUAAUCGCGGUUUAUCAGCCCGCGUUGAAUGCGUCCCUGCCCUUUGUACACACCGCCCGUCGCUCCUACCGAUGAAUCGUUCGGUGAAGUUCAUGGAGGGGCGGUUGUUUCAGCUGCCGUCGAAGUGAAAUGGACCUGACGAUGCUGGCGGUCCGCCGCCGGCGCUGUCGCUGGAAGAUCUUUAAACCUUAUCAUUUAGAGGAAGGAGAAGUCGUAACA
Molecule: ribosomal RNA, 361 nt
Filed under: uncultured eukaryote
Lineage: Eukaryota
Description: partial 18S ribosomal RNA
Rfam family: Eukaryotic small subunit ribosomal RNA
Source: RNAcentral